GAUGAACGCUAGCGAUAGGCUUAACACAUGCAAGUCGAGGGGCAGCAUGAACUUAGCUUGCUAAGUUUGAUGGCGACCGGCGCACGGGUGAGUAACGCGUAUGCAACUUACCUAUCAGAGGAGAAUAGCUCAUCGAAAGAUGAAUUAAUGCUCCAUAAAACAGGGGUCCCGCAUGGGAAUAUUUGUUAAAGAUUCAUCGCUGAUAGAUAGGCAUGCGUUCCAUUAGGCAGUUGGCGGGGUAAACGGCCCACCAAACCGACGAUGGAUAGGGGUUCUGAGAGGAAGGUCCCCCACAUUGGUACUGAGACACGGACCAAA
Molecule: ribosomal RNA, 318 nt
Filed under: uncultured bacterium
Lineage: Bacteria
Description: bacterial SSU rRNA
Rfam family: Bacterial small subunit ribosomal RNA
Source: RNAcentral